RNAcentral lists this small RNA (2505 nucleotides) under Pan troglodytes (chimpanzee). RNAcentral's name for it is "retained intron". The record is from RNAcentral. Lineage: Eukaryota; Metazoa; Chordata; Mammalia; Primates; Hominidae.
GCAUGUCCAGAGGGUUGAGCCCUACUCAGCCUCAUCUGGGUACUGACUGGGGGCCAGGACUCAGGUCCAGCCAGUUUCACAGCAGAGCCUGUGCUCUUGGCCAUGAUGAUAAUGGCACUUUCCCACCCAGUCCUUUUUUUUUUCAAAUUUAUUUAUUUUGAGUGCUGCAUUCUCUGCCUUUUAUAGUUAAGAAUGUUUUCAAGGUCUGGUGGGAGGUUUUCGUGUUUUGCAUCCAUGAAUGCAGUCAGUGUUUGCCUGUAAAUAGGGAGGGUCAAUUCUCUUGGGCUCCUCUGCUGUGCACCUCAUUGCCCAUAGAAUGCUCCUCUCGGAUCUUGCACUAGAGCACUGGAUGAUGAAGUGAAGCCUUGCAGAGACCUGUGAGUCUGGGGGAGGAAACCAAGACUCCAGGGUGGAGUGAUUGGCUGUAUGUUUCACCUGCAGCCAAGCGAGGCCCAGAAGUCUUCCAGUGCUUUGGAGGUUCACAAGAAAUAUGGUGACUCAACUGGAACCACAUUAGAGGAGGCCCAGAAGAUUAACAAUGGCUCAAGCCAGGCGGAUGGCACUCUCAAACCAGUGGAUGAAAAAGAGGAGGCAGUGGCCGCCGAGGUCGGCUGGAUGACCUCCGUGAAGGACUGGGCGGGGGUGAUGAUAUCCGCCCAGACACUGACUGGCAGAGUCCUGGUUGUCUUAGUCUUUGCUCUCAGCAUCGGUGCACUUGUAAUAUACUUCAUAGAUUCGUCAAAGUGAGUAUUCAAAUAUACUUUCUUGCCCUCGUUUCAUAAACAAUCAUGAGCCUUUACAUUGAUCCAUUUAUUUACCUUGACACCAACCUUUGCAAGACCUUCUGAGUGCAGAAGAUUUUGGAGGAAGCUAGGGCUGUACUGUACUGAUUUUCUAAAUGGGAAAGAAAGUUCUCAGAAGGAAGGCUAUUUUGAGUCUGCUGGCAUAGGAGGGUGAGGUAUAUGAGGUCAAGUCUUCUUGCUGGGUAUUACUUAUUUUUAAAGAGCUGUUUCCUGAUGAUGUAUUUGCACUGAAGAUGUCAAGUAGUUAAGAUGACUUGAUGGGAAUUUGCAACUUCUGGGAGGGUGACAGUUUCCCCCAGAUGAGGGUCUGAGCCAUUCUUGCUAUGGUUGUAGGAUCCUUUUCUCAAUUGGGUUUCCAGUGCUUUGAUCUUACUGGAGGUCAGAUUAGAAAGCAUGGUGCUAUCCUUUCACCUGCCAAUCGGGUAUUCAGCUGAAGCAUUGCACGCUGGUGCUUCUUGACUUGUGAAGGUAAGGAGAUGGAUGGAGGAGUUCAUCAUGACCCCCAGAGGUGGAGGCCCUGGCCAUUUGAGGACUUCUAGAGUGGACACUCAUGCAGACUCCUUGGGUGCCAGCCGAAUGGACUGGUGCUCCAGAGUGAGCCUGGUGACAGAUGAUAAAGACCUUGCAGAAGGAUGAAGAGGGCACAGACUAGAACUGCAACGUUGCAGCCAGUUCUGCCCUGAUUCCUGCAGGUGCCAACCCUGAGGAAAUAAUUUGUUCCAACUAUACUAUUGCAAUCAUGAAGUUGAUGGCAUCUGGGAAACAAGCUGGAAUCUAACUCAUUUUCUGUUGUGGCGUGAACUUGGCAACUCUGGUGACAAUGGCCUUGAGCUUGUUGCCUUUAUUGUCCACUGUGUGAGUGUUUUGAACUUUAAACUCUAUCCCUGGCAUGGUUGGCUACUAGACUUUGAUACUAGGAAACUUGCUUGGUGUGCCUGUUGGCUCAGACUCUGGUGUGCCUGAAUUCUGAGCUUAGCACUCCUUUCCUGUGGCUUGGGAUGGUGGUAAUUUCAUGCACAGCUAAACUCAGAAUUUCUCAGAGCCAUCUGGUCACCGGCCAAGGAUUUUGUGCAUUUGGGUGGAGAGGCCAAAAUGUCAGUCAGGGAAAACAAAGCAAAUAUCUCCUUUAAUAACCUGUCUCUGGGAAUCAGCCGAGUUCAAGCCUAUCAGAGGUCCUUCAGCCCACCCCACAUGCGAGGCUGGGCUGCCCUCACCCAUCUCAGAUGGAGAGUCCUUUAAACGCUGUCAGGAGACAAGAUUCCACAUGCUCCCUCCAUCAGCUCUCCCGAGCCAAGAAAGAGAAGAGCUUGUUUAAGUUUGGAAGACUCCCAUUGGCAUGUCAUUGAAGGUAAGCCCCCUUUUAAAUAUUUACUCUUAAUGAUUCUGGACCCUAUUUGUAUUGAACUGAAGAUCCUCUAAAGCCCCUGGUCUUAUUUCUCCAAUCUCUCUCCAGGGGUGUUCUUACAUGUCGUGGGGUGCAGACCCUGCCAACUUCCAUGCUGAGACUCAGGAAAGAGGUUUGGGCUUGAAGCUUGUGUGUCCCAGAGAAAGAAAACCCUAAUGUGGAGGUGAGUGUGUUGAUGGGUUAGAAGUCCAGAUGCCUCAGCCAGCACCUUCCUUCCCUUUUCGUUUUUUUUUUUAUUUUUAUUUUUUAACCUUUUGUCCCUCUGUAUUUCUCAGAAAUAAAAUGCUCUUUAGAUGG